GAUGAACGCUGGCGGCGUGCCUAAUACAUGCAAGUCGAGCGAAUGGAUUAAGAGCUUGCUCUUAUGAAGUUAGCGGCGGACGGGUGAGUAACACGUGAGUAACCUGCCCAUAAGACUGGGAUAACUCCGGGAAACCGGGGCUAAUACCGGAUAACAUUUUGAACCGCAUGGUUCGAAAUGGAAAGGCGGCUUCGGCUGUCACUUAUGGAUGGACCCGCGUCGCAUUAGCUAGUUGGUGAGGUAACGGCUCACCAAGGCAACGAUGCGUAGCCGACCUGGGAGGGUGAUCGGCCACACUGGGACUGAGACACGGCCCAGACUCCUACGGGAGGCAGCAGUAGGGAAUCUUCCGCAAUGGACGAAAGUCUGACGGAGCAACGCCGCGUGAGUGAUGAAGGCUUUCGGGUCGUAAAACUCUGUUGUUGGGGAAGAACAAGUGCUAGUUGAAUAAGCUGACACCUUGACGGUACCUAACCAGAAAGCCACGGCUAACUACGUGCCAGCCGCCGCAGUAA
This 515-nucleotide ribosomal RNA is filed under the name uncultured bacterium. RNAcentral's name for it is "partial 16S ribosomal RNA". It matches the Rfam family "Bacterial small subunit ribosomal RNA", at positions 28 to 523 of the family's 1533-position model. The record is from RNAcentral.